This 253-nucleotide ribosomal RNA is filed under the name uncultured bacterium. RNAcentral's name for it is "partial 16S ribosomal RNA". It matches the Rfam family "Bacterial small subunit ribosomal RNA", at positions 524 to 776 of the family's 1533-position model. The record is from RNAcentral.
UACGGAGGAUCCAAGCGUUAUCCGGAUUCAUUGGGUUUAAAGGGUGCGUAGGCGGCUUAUUAAGUCAGCGGUGAAAUCCUGGAGCUUAACUCCAGAACUGCCAUUGAUACUGAUGAGCUUGAGUACACUUGAAGUGGGCGGAAUGUGUCGUGUAGCGGUGAAAUGCUUAGAUAUGACACAGAACACCGAUUGCGAAGGCAGCUCACUAAAUUGUCACUGACGCUGAGGCACGAAAGCGUGGGGAUCAAACAGG